RNAcentral lists this long non-coding RNA (755 nucleotides) under Oryzias sinensis (Chinese medaka). RNAcentral's name for it is "lncRNA (ENSOSIG00000023474.1)". Lineage: Eukaryota; Metazoa; Chordata; Actinopteri; Beloniformes; Adrianichthyidae. The record is from RNAcentral.
UAUGAAACAUAUUGAGCAAUUUUUUUGACAUGCUGAUAUAAAAUUCAGCAUGAUAAAAAAUAGCUUCACUUUUUUGUCAGCCAGUGGUGUAGCAGCUGUGCUCAUGGGGACUCUUGAACUAUGGGAUCUGAGUAUUUACUGGAUCUAGGUGAAAUCAGAGGACCACAGUGAGUGAUCAAAUUGGAUGUCAGGGGUAUGAUGGUGGGCUGUUGGUCAGUAAGAGUGAGCAGCAUCAGUCAGACACAAUGAGAAAUUGGAGGGGGAAGCAUCGAACUGUUUUUUGUUCCUUUUUUUCUUCCUGUACUCUCACUGUUCUGCCAAGGCCUCCCAGGUUUGUGCAAUCUCUUAGUGUCAACAUCUUUCUGUAAGGCUGAUUCAAUUAAGAUUACGCCAGUUGCAGGGAGGGAGAGUGACAGAGGUCAGUUUGAUUUUGACGAUUGCUUCUAUGCCUUUUGUUUUUUCAGCUUGGGUUACUGCUUUCCUUGCCACUUGGACCAGGAGAAGGAUAAACUGUCUAUUCCCUGAGCUGCUCCUCUGGGUAAAGGCCACUGAGGUUUUACCACCAAGAAGUAGCCGUGUUUACUUGUCUGUGACCCUUCAGAGUAUGAUGUUGUUGACAACAUGUUCCUGACUUCAAAAUGCAUCCUCUCCUCCCCUGCUGUUGCCAUUCAUCUCCAUUUACCCAGAGACUGACGUGAGUGUGACACUGACACACUCCUAAGGCUGUGAUGUUUUCUUUCUUUUAUAUUUUUUUU